Long non-coding RNA from Schistocerca nitens (vagrant locust), 426 nucleotides. RefSeq lists it as uncharacterized. The transcript has 3 exons. The record is from RefSeq and is a predicted model, not a curated record. Lineage: Eukaryota; Metazoa; Arthropoda; Insecta; Orthoptera; Acrididae.
GCCUUUGAAUGUCAUAAGUAAUUAUUUCAGGUUAUGUUAUCAGAACCAAGCACUUGUUAUUUUCAGUGACCCUGUGUUUCCGCAUUUCUAACAGGAGUGGCUUACGAGGGCAAUCAUGGACUGCAAGGGAUCUAAUUGGCUGAAAAAAGAGAAGAAUGAAGUAUAUGCUGAAUCAGGCUCCUUGUUUCUUGAAGAUCCACUAAAGAUGCCUAGUCUUCAUAUAAAGCAUGACCCAGAACUGAAACAGGAUUUGGAUGGCACUGAACAUGAUGUAAGUUUUCACAACAGUGAUGCAUUGUGCAUGAAGUACAGUAUUAAUAUCAUGAAAUGCAAAUGGGUGCAUGCAAAUGGGGUGAUCAUAACUGAUGAAACAUUAAAACCUAGGAUAGUAGCACUUCUCCAGAAUUUUUAUAGAAUUUCAAUUGA